CUCUUCGGGGAUGAUUAAACCGGCGCACGGGUGAGUAACACGUGAGUGACCUGCCUUUUAGACUGGAACAACUUACCGAAAGGUGAGCUAAUGCCGGAUGAGUUAUAUAAGUGCAUGUUUAUAUAGGAAAAGUUGGGGAGACCUGACGCUGAAAGAUGGACUCGCGUCCCAUUAGCUAGUUGGUAGGGUAAUGGCCUACCAAGGCGACGAUGGGUAGCCGGCCUGAGAGGGUGGCCGGCCACACUGGGACUGAGACACGGCCCAGACUCCUACGGGAGGCAGCAGUGGGGAAUUUUGCGCAAUGCUCGUAAGAGUGACGCAGCGACGCCGCGUGAAUGACGAAGGCCUUCGGGUCGUAAAGUUCUUUCGACAGGGAAGAAAAUGCCUAUAAGUAACUGUGUAUGUAUUGACGGUACCUGUAUAAGCAGCCCCGGCUAACUCCGUGCCAGCAGCCGCGGUAAUACGGAGGGGGCGAGCGUUGUUCGGAGUGACUGGGCGUAAAGAGCACGUAGGCGGUGUUGUAAGUCAUUAGUCAAAGACUAGAGCUCAACUUUAGUAAGGCUAGUGAUACUAUAAUACUAGAGUAUCAGAGAGGAUUGCAGAAUUCCUGGUGUAGCGGUGAAAUGCGUAGAUAUCAGGAGGAAUACCGUUAGCGAAGGCGGCAAUCUGGCUGGAAACUGACGCUGAGGUGCGAAAGCGUGGGUAGCAAACAGGAUUAGAUACCCUGGUAGUCCACGCUGUAAACGAUGGAUGCUAGGUGUUGGGCUUUUAAGUUCAGUGCCGCA
RNAcentral lists this ribosomal RNA (785 nucleotides) under uncultured bacterium. RNAcentral describes it as "bacterial SSU rRNA". It matches the Rfam family "Bacterial small subunit ribosomal RNA", at positions 76 to 850 of the family's 1533-position model. The record is from RNAcentral.